GUCCUCUCUCCGCUCCGUGAAGCUCUCACACUCCAAACAUCGAGUCCUCAGAACCAGCCGACCCUGAAACAAGCGCUCCAUCAAGCCCAGGCCCUCUGAACCAAGCAGAAACAGAGACAUGGUCAAGUACUGCACUGUUGUACAGCUUCUUGACUCCUUCUCUGAAGCCUGGGCAGUAAUACAGAACCUGCAGAAGCAAACAUCAUUUAGAAAACCCAAAAUACUUCCCUACAUGACAAGUUUCUUGUCAGAUGUUAAAUGCCGAUGAUCACAUGACGACACAACGAAGUGAAAAAAUUUCAACAUGACCAGGACAGAAGAAGGCCUGGGGAGGCUGGACAUGGAGAUGGACCAGGGACCACCUGAUCACAGCCGCUGAACAGUGGAAGGAAAACAAAAAGAGAAAUUUAUCAAUUGGUAGAUUCGUACAGACGUAAGCCACAGUUUCUCAUUACGUGAAAUAAAACCAUCACCAUGUAUUAAACAAAA
Molecule: long non-coding RNA, 489 nt
Organism: Amphiprion ocellaris (clown anemonefish)
Lineage: Eukaryota; Metazoa; Chordata; Actinopteri; Pomacentridae
Exons: 3
Source: RefSeq, a predicted model, not a curated record